This 206-nucleotide long non-coding RNA is filed under the name Elaeis guineensis (African oil palm). RNAcentral's name for it is "long non-coding RNA (EGUI_LNC072716)". Lineage: Eukaryota; Viridiplantae; Streptophyta; Magnoliopsida; Arecales; Arecaceae. The record is from RNAcentral.
CAAUGGCUCUCCUGUGGAUCCAACGAUCAUCUACUUUCUGAUACCCCAUGCGGCGUACGGAUCAAUCAUUAUAUAUAUCAAUAUAUAAAAGGGUCCUAGAUGUCUCACCCUCCAAAUCUAACCUCUACUUCCUAAAAAAAGUUUGAGGACUAUAUCAUAAGGCAAUGAGGCCUUCGAUCAGCUAGCUACCUCAUGCAUUUACUGUG